GUGAACGCUGGCGGUAGGCCUAACCCAUGCAAGUCGAACGGCAGCACAGUAAGAGCUUGCUCUUACGGGUGGCGAGUGGCGGACGGGUGAGGAAUACAUCGGAAUCUACUUUUUCGUGGGGGAUAACGUAGGGAAACUUACGCUAAUACCGCAUACGACCUACGGGUGAAAGCAGGGGAUCUUCGGACCUUGCGCGAUUGAAUGAGCCGAUGUCGGAUUAGCUAGUUGGCGGGGUAAAGGCCCACCAAGGCGACGAUCCGUAGCUGGUCUGAGAGGAUGAUCAGCCACACUGGAACUGAGACACGGUCCAGACUCCUACGGGAGGCAGCAGUGGGGAAUAUUGGACAAUGGGCGCAAGCCUGAUCCAGCCAUACCGCGUGGGUGAAGAAGGCCUUCGGGUUGUAAAGCCCUUUUGUUGGGAAAGAAAAGCAGCAGGCUAAUACCCCGCUGUUCUGACGGUACCCAAAGAAUAAGCACCGGCUAACUUCGUG
This 491-nucleotide ribosomal RNA is filed under the name uncultured bacterium. RNAcentral describes it as "partial 16S ribosomal RNA". It matches the Rfam family "Bacterial small subunit ribosomal RNA", at positions 29 to 507 of the family's 1533-position model. The record is from RNAcentral.